UCCAGACUCCUACGGGAGGCAGCAGUGGGGAAUAUUGCACAAUGGGGGAAACCCUGAUGCAGCGACGCCGCGUGAGCGAAGAAGUACCUCGGUAUGUAAAGCUCUCUCAGCAGGGAAGAAGAUGACGGUACCUGACCAAGAAGCUCCGGCUAAAUACGUGCCAGCAGCCGCGGUAAUACGUAUGGAGCAAGCGUUAUCCGGAUUUACUGGGUGUAAAGGGAGCGCAGGCGGCCUUGCAAGUCUGAUGUGAAAGGCCGGGGCCCAACCCCGGGACUGCAUUGGAAACUGGCGGGCUGGAGUGCCGGAGAGGUAAGCGGAAUUCCUAGUGUAGCGGUGAAAUGCGUAGAUAUUAGGGGGAUCACCAGUGGCGAAGGCGGCUUACUGGACGGCAACUGACGCUGAGGCUCGAAAGCGUGGGGAGCAAACAGGAUUAGAUACCCCAGUA
RNAcentral lists this ribosomal RNA (445 nucleotides) under uncultured bacterium. Its description in RNAcentral is "partial 16S ribosomal RNA". It matches the Rfam family "Bacterial small subunit ribosomal RNA", at positions 330 to 792 of the family's 1533-position model. The record is from RNAcentral.